AGCUCCGGGGGCGAAUAUAGAAGUUGCUGUGAUUACAAAGCUCGUAGCUCAAUUUCCGGUAGUGCUUGACCGUCCCUUUGGCUUUUGCCAUUGUUUGGAUGUGUUGACACAGCCGUCUUUUUCUGGCUGUUAAAGGCUGGGAAUCGUUUACUGUAAAAAAAUUAGAGUGUUCAAAACAUUUCUUAGGGAAAGAAUAUAUUAGUAUGGAAUAAUAAGAUAAGAUCGUGAUUUUAUUUUGUUGGUUUGUGAAUCAUGGUAAUAAUUAAUAGGGACAAUCGGGGAUAUUCGUAUUUAGAUGCCAGAGGUGAAAUUCUUGGAUUUUCGAAAGACGAACUACUGCGAAGGCAUUUAUCAAGGAUGUUUUCAUUGG
RNAcentral lists this ribosomal RNA (370 nucleotides) under Botryochytrium sp. RNAcentral's name for it is "partial small subunit ribosomal RNA". It matches the Rfam family "Eukaryotic small subunit ribosomal RNA", at positions 587 to 976 of the family's 1831-position model. Lineage: Eukaryota; Bigyra; Thraustochytrida; Thraustochytriidae. The record is from RNAcentral.